RNAcentral lists this ribosomal RNA (486 nucleotides) under uncultured bacterium. RNAcentral's name for it is "bacterial SSU rRNA". It matches the Rfam family "Bacterial small subunit ribosomal RNA", at positions 28 to 502 of the family's 1533-position model. The record is from RNAcentral.
GAUGAACGCUAGCUACAGGCUUAACACAUGCAAGUCGAGGGGCAGCAUGGUCUUAGCUUGCUAAGGCCGAUGGCGACCGGCGCACGGGUGAGUAACACGUAUCCAACCUGCCGUCUACUCUUGGACAGCCUUCUGAAAGGAAGAUUAAUACAAGAUGGCAUCAUGAGUUCACAUGUUCACAUGAUUAAAGGUAUUCCGGUAGACGAUGGGGAUGCGUUCCAUUAGAUAGUAGGCGGGGUAACGGCCCACCUAGUCUUCGAUGGAUAGGGGGUUCUGAGAGGAAGGUCCCCCACAUUGGAACUGAGACACGGUCCAAACUCCUACGGGAGGCAGCAGUGAGGAAUAUUGGUCAAUGGGCGCAGGCCUGAACCAGCCAAGUAGCGUGAAGGAUGACUGCCCUAUGGGUUGUAAACUGCUUUUAUAAGGGAAUAAAGUGAGUCUCGUGAGACUUUUUGCAUGUACCUUAUGAAUAAGGACCGGCUAAUU